GACGAACGCUGGCGGCGCGCCUAACACAUGCAAGUCGAACGGAGAGUGAAGAGCUUGCUUUUCACUUUUAGUGGCGGACGGGUGAGUAACACGUGAGCAAUCUGCCUCUGUGAGGGGGAUAACGUCUGGAAACGGACGCUAAUACCGCAUAACAUAUAGUGACCGCAUGGUCGGUAUAUCAAAGAUUUAUCGCACAGAGAUGAGCUCGCGGCUGAUUAGCUAGUUGGCGGGGUAACGGCCCACCAAGGCGACGAUCAGUAGCCGGACUGAGAGGUUGAACGGCCACAUUGGGACUGAGACACGGCCCAG
RNAcentral lists this ribosomal RNA (309 nucleotides) under uncultured bacterium. RNAcentral describes it as "bacterial SSU rRNA". It matches the Rfam family "Bacterial small subunit ribosomal RNA", at positions 28 to 334 of the family's 1533-position model. The record is from RNAcentral.